GGGAGUGUGGCUCAGUGGAAGAGCGUUUUCAUUCCAAGCAGAAAAUCCUAGGUUCAAUUCCCCGCAUCUCUA
This 72-nucleotide transfer RNA is filed under the name Sphaerodactylus townsendi. RNAcentral's name for it is "tRNA-Gly". It matches the Rfam family "tRNA". Rfam says of the family: Transfer RNA (tRNA) molecules are approximately 80 nucleotides in length. Their secondary structure includes four short double-helical elements and three loops (D, anti-codon, and T loops). The record is from RNAcentral. Lineage: Eukaryota; Metazoa; Chordata; Lepidosauria; Squamata; Sphaerodactylidae.